This 836-nucleotide ribosomal RNA is filed under the name uncultured bacterium. Its description in RNAcentral is "bacterial SSU rRNA". It matches the Rfam family "Bacterial small subunit ribosomal RNA", at positions 613 to 1450 of the family's 1533-position model. The record is from RNAcentral.
CCUGGGAACUGCGUUNUGAACUGGGUGACUAGAGUGUNUCAGAGGGAGGUAGAAUUCCACGUGUAGCAGUGAAAUGCGUAGAGAUGUGGAGGAAUACCGAUGGCGAAGGCAGCCUCCUGGGAUAACACUGACGUUCAUGCCCGAAAGCGUGGGUAGCAAACAGGAUUAGAUACCCUGGUAGUCCACGCCCUAAACGAUGUCGAUUAGCUGUUGGGCAGCAUGACUGCUUAGUAGCGAAGCUAACGCGUGAAAUCGACCGCCUGGGGAGUACGGUCGCAAGAUUAAAACUCAAAGGAAUUGACGGGGACCCGCACAAGCGGUGGAUGAUGUGGAUUAAUUCGAUGCAACGCGAAGAACCUUACCUGGCCUUGACAUGUACGGAACCCUCCAGAGACGGAGGGGUGCCUUCGGGAGCCGUAACACAGGUGCUGCAUGGCUGUCGUCAGCUCGUGUCGUGAGAUGUUGGGUUAAGUCCCGCAACGAGCGCAACCCUUGUCAUUAGUUGCCAUCAUUAAGUUGGGCACUCUAAUGAGACUGCCAGUGACAAGCCGGAGGAAGGUGGGGAUGACGUCAAGUCCUCAUGGCCCUUAUGACCAGGGCUUCACACGUCAUACAAUGGUCGGUACAGAGGGUAGCCAAGCCGCGAGGUGGAGCCAAUCUCACAAAACCGAUCGUAGUCCGGAUUGCACUCUGCAACUCGAGUGCAUGAAGUCGGAAUCGCUAGUAAUCGCAGGUCAGCAUACUGCGGUGAAUACGUUCCCGGGUCUUGUACACACCGCCCGUCACACCAUGGGAGUGGGGGAUACCAGAAGUAGGUAGGGUAACCGCAAGGAGCC